This is a long non-coding RNA of Myiozetetes cayanensis, 3825 nucleotides long. RefSeq lists it as uncharacterized. Lineage: Eukaryota; Metazoa; Chordata; Aves; Passeriformes; Tyrannidae. The record is from RefSeq and is a predicted model, not a curated record. The transcript is spliced from 4 exons.
UCUCUGGUUUGUAAUUUGUAACCCAAAUCCAGUCUUAGACCUUGGAUGCAGUGUGCAUGACAUUUUCAAAGGUAGGUUAUGGAAGCAUGAUCUGCUUGACAUUUUUACAUGACUAUUAAUGUCAUGUUGGGAACAUACAAGUUUAGCAACAUAAUCUCAAUUUCAUGGCUUUAUCAAUAGAAAAAUCUUUCUAAUUCCUAAUUUAAAUCACUUCUUAUAUUUAAAGACCAUUGCAUUCUACCCUAUCUGUAGUGGGCAAAGAAUAUUAUAGUAUAUAUUUCCACACUCACUAUCACUUUACAUAUCUGAAGACUGUUUUCAGUGUGUCUUCAGAGUUUUCUUUAGGUGGAAUGAGCUCAGUUCUUUCUGCCUUAUCUCCUAAGCUGAUAUCUCUAAUAUCUCCUGAAUUAUCUCAAACAUGUGAACACAGUUUUCACAAGUGUAAUGUUCCAAAAUGUCACUACUUCACAUCUUCAGUGCUGCCUUCUGUCUUAUAUAUCCCAGUACAAUAUUUUCUGCUUUCAUUCCAGAUUGAUACUAUUCCAUUUGUUCCAUUUGUGACAAAACAUGCAACUGUUUUUCUGAGUACUGCUGCAUCAUGCUGGGAAAAUGCACCUGGUUUUGCUAUUAUUUUUUGCUAUUCACGAUUCACUGUCAAAAUGAAAGGAUUUGGCACAUAGGAUUCUACCUUAGGUCUAGCACUAGUAAAAACUCCCAUUAAUAUUUUCGGUAACACAGAAGAGAGGAUUAUUAAAUAGCAUUCAGCCAUCAGCUGCAGAGGAUCUCUUAACUGCCUGUGAAAGGGUAGGAUGUAAAUUGAGAAUCAUCAUGUCAAGUUAAGAAAUCAGUAUGAAAAGUAUAUGCUACUCAAAAAAGAAAAGCAAGAGCUACUUCAUUUAGGUAGGAAUAAUUAAAUACAAAAUACUAAGAGUGGAGAAAUCAGACAGCACUGUGAAACAGAUCACAGAGUUAGGAUAUAUGACUUUAUUGCUCAUUCCUUUUCCCAAGACCUGUUACUUUGUUAUAGAAAGAAUUUUGUUUCAUUUCAUACAGUUUUACCUAGAUUAAUCAUUGGUCCUUGCUAUUUCUUUCUUGCUCUCUUCUUGUUAUUUGUUUAAUUGAAAUUAACAGAAAAAUAAUGGAAUAAAUAAUUAAACAUGGAAAAAUGCUGAUCUUUCCAAGGCUAUUCCCUUUUCUUAAGAUGGCUUUUAUCUUUGCCAGUCUUCUGUCUUUCAGGAUUUCUCAAAUAUCUAGUCAGUCUGAGAUUAACAGCAAUUUUUAAAAUAUAAAGCAGAACGGAAAUAUGUGCCAGUCUCCUUAAAUAAACUGGCUUUCCUGCAGGGACAUUUCAUGCAUAUCUCAGACUGUCUCUCAAUGUUCUGUAGCAUUUAAGAAACAUUUUUCUUGGUGUCAAAGAUAGUAAAAUAUUAGUUAUUAUUGUGAAAAAGCACAUUUUCACCAUACCUAUCAACACCAUAAAACUUGUGUAUUGAAGCAGAAUCUCAUUUAAGAAGUUGUGCAGACAGAAGGAUGAAUGUCUGCUGUUAGCACCUGUGAAUUUGACAGAUAUUCAGAUACGAAGUUGUGUGGUGAUCUACUUUCACAAUAUAACGUAACAGUAAAUUCAGAUGCCUCAGAUUUGAGGCCCAAAAUUGCAGGGUUUGGAAUUCACAUGUGAUGUUCAGAGACAGAAGACACUAAUUAAGGUAGUAAAAGACACUGUGCAUAAAAUGGGUUUAUACAAUUAUGGGCUGUGAAGCCUUGGACCAGAAUGCUGUCAGGCAAUUGGUUUAUCUGGAGACUCCUCCCACUUUUAAAAUAUAAAUAUAUUGGUUUCAUGCCUCACCUAGGAAUUCAAACAGGCUGAAUAUAUCUUUGCCUUGCAGCACCAUUAAAUUAAUGUUCCUACGAGUGGAGUUUCUAAACUCAAAGUUAUCUUUUUAAAGAAGACCCUGGCUGCCUAGUGGGGGAAAAUGGAAGAUUUCAUGCAGUUUUGUAGUUAAAAGCAUAUUUUUAUUUACUUAACUGAAGUCCUAAACCCGAUAACAAAGAAUACUGAUAAAUACAACCAAAGAAUUGCAAACAGUGUAAUGUGUUUGGGUUAAAUUCAGGCCUGACAGCCCUGCAGGAUGAAAUAAUCCACAUAGAAUAAUUUUGGAAUGGGUAAAGGCAUAGACACUCCCCAGUGCAGUUUCUGGAUUUUAGUGUGGAGGUACCAUUUGUUGGAGCAGAAGGGUAAUUAAGUUUCUGUUCCUCCUCGCUUGCACCAAGGAGAUUAGCAGGGGAAUCUCAUUCUUCUCAGUUUUGCAAGGCAGACACUUUUCUGAUAAGAAUUGAAUUUGCUUAUUUCAGACAGUCUGGUAAACAACCAUCAGAGGACAACUUUUCUCAGCUGCUGUGUCAGUCUCACUGCAGUCUGGGCACACCUUGCCACAUUCAGCUAUCUUGGUUGCUCAGGAGUUUAUAGGUCAACAAUUUAUGUGACCCAGUCAGCAAGAAAUGCAUGUGUAGCAUCUACGUCUUUGGAUCAAUUAGCUGGCUGAUGUCAAGCAAGUGAUUUUUUUCCCUUUAAACAGAGGUGUUUGCCAUGGAGUUAGAACAGCAGUCCCUUCUGGAAAUGGCUUGGGAAUAUCUCCUUGUAUGGAGGAAGCAAGAGCAUUUGUGAGAUUUUGAAGACAAAAGAGUGAAAGAUGAAGUGCUAAAUCUGAGACUGUGGCUGUUAAAAUGAGCAGCUGAAUACCAGAGAGCAAGGAUUACUGCAUUGCCUAACAGACUGCUGCAGAACCUCUGAGCCUUUUAUUUCCAGUAAUAAAAAAGAAAUCCACGUGAGUCUCAACGUGUGGAUGUAAUUUUGUUUAUUUGGGGAAAAGAAGCGUUAAAAUAACAAUUUUCGAAAGCAACAGUUUUUCCUAAAGGAAAAAGAACUCAGUUUUUAUACAUAAAAUCUAUAUCCUAUACUCUGUGUUUGUCUGGUUUGCUUAUUCCAGAUCCCUUCAGUGGAUAAUGCUGCAUCCUCAGCUCCCACACCCUCCACCCUGGUCUCUGUGAUAUACGUUAUUUCAAAGGAGCACAGCUGGGUGCUGGACUGUAAUUUCUCAUGCAGCCAGGGUCAGAUCCAUUAGUAUAUGUGGAGGUUAGGACCAAGACCAUGAAAGUAGAUGGGGAGCUAAUAGACAGACUGGUGUUCCUGCUGUGUUCACAGGGGCUUAAACCAGGGAGAAAACAGUCAGGCACAUCCAUAUUAUUUUCGCCUUUUGCUUCGUGAUUUGCAGUAGCCUCAUUCAUAAAUGACAAAGGAACAGCUCCCUGAUGUGAGGUCCUCAUACCACAGAGAGCUGUAAUGAGUUUGGAACAAGAUGGAGAUAAGGAAGACUUUUUAGUGAUUACUCAGACAAAUCUCUGAGUACAAAUCAGAGAUGCGCUGAAGGAAGGGUGUAUCUUUCCAUCACUCUCCAUCACUUAAACAUCUGAGGAUACUUAAGGUAUUCUCACGGUAUUAUGUAAGAAGAACUCAGUAAGACAAAAGUGUCCUAAAUGCAGCUUUAUAGAUUUUUUUCCUUUCACUGUAUGUCAGAAACUUCUGUAAUUUGACAGCCACUGGCAAUGAUUAAUGGCUAGCAAUAUGGCCAGGGGCAAUGUGUGUUUCAAAAUCAGUACCAGGAAAGACUGUGUGAUCUUGGAAGUCUUUGGCUGUGGAACUGUCUUGCAAAAUGAAAAAUAAAUAUUUUGCCUGUGUGUUUGAUGAAGAGCUCCAAAUACAUAGCUGGAAUAUAAAUGAAGGUGAGAAGACAGUGAAAACCAGCAGAAUAUUUACCUUGGAAUGUG